GCGUAAAAUCGUAGUUUUUCCAUACAAUUUUCACUAAUUAUUAUAAAAUUUGUGUAUUUUUAUGCAUAGAGUGAAUCUAUGUUUAUUAUUUUUAUUAUUUUAAUGAAUUAAAGUGGAAAUCCACUUUAUUUAAAUAAUAAAAACACUGAAAAUUAAAAAUUGUAUAUGCAUCGGUAAUAAUGCAUACAAGUAGUUGAAGUACCGAGAUAACCCAACCAACCAUUUAUACAAGACUCCCUAAAUAAUAAAAUUGGGUUUUCAUCGCGCGAUCUUUUUUUUUUUCAAAUUUUGAAUAUAUUUUCAGCAUAAUAUACUACAUUGAAACAAGCGCCGCAGGCGAAAAUUUGGAAUAAAAAAUCGCGCGAUUUUUUAUUCCAAAUUUUCAUUAUAUUUUCAGUAUAUUACAUCGAAACAAGCGCCGCAGGCGAAAAUUUGGAAUAAAAAAUCGCGCGAUUUUUUAUUCCAAAUUUUCGUUAUAUUUUCAGUAUAAUAUAUUACAUUGAAACAACCGCCGCAGUAUAUAAGGCCUACCAUUUUGAUUCGUUGGGUUAUUACUAUCUUCCUUUUGUGCUUAUUUUCUUCGUCGUUUGACAGUUCAUAUUCAGUAAUUUUGCUUACAUUUCAAGGAACAGUAUAAGACGUAAUUGAAAGCUGUUUUAUUUAUUAAAUUGUACAUAAAAUUGCAACUUAAAAUUCAUAAUUUAUCAUUAAUUCAAUUAAAUAUAUUUCAAAGAAUGUGUGUGUGUUAAAUUGGUUAAAUUUUUCGCAAGCAGUGCAACAAAAACUUCAAAAGAAGAGAGCCAUUUUUUGAGCAAAUGUGAAAAUGUGCGUUUUUUGCUUACUGAUAUCUGAAAAACAAAUUAACAUUUAACAAUAAAAUUACAUUUAAACAAAAGUUUAAUUCAUUGGCUAUCCGUGCUAUAUAAAUUUAAAAAAAUCCGUGCACGCAUUUACGAGGGAUAAGCAGUGAAAAUGAUAUACUAAACUAAACCCAACCCUAUAUUUUGUAAUGUGAAUUCAUUAAUUAUAAAAUUUGCGAAAUUUCUGGCCUUUAUACCAAAAAUGUUCAUAUUUUUCACUAUUUUAAAUGGUUUAAGCCGCUUAGUCGAACUUAUUGCUUCACUACCGGAAAUUAACUGACUAAAUAUACUGGCUGUGUGCCAAACGGUAGAAAAAUAAAAAAAUCUGACAGAUAAAACUGAAAUUUCAUUCUUGAACGCACCAGAUUUAUGAGCAACGUGAGCCAAUGCAACUUCCUUUACAGAAUGACUUGGAUCUUCGGUACGCAUUGCACGUGAAGUGUUGCCAACGUCGUCGAAAAAUUUAGUGAUCAAUAAGUAAAAGGUUUGGAAAGUAAAAAUAAAAAAAAAUCAAUAAAAUUUAUCUUGAGAAAAAUGCAAAAAUUUUGUUCUAACUUGCAAGUGGGUAGAACCUAUUAAGUUUAAUUUAGUUUUGUUAUCUGGAACUGCAUUCGAUUGUGUGUCAUUUUUCUAGGCAAAACAACACUGGAAACACACGAAGUCACACCCUUACGAAAGGCAACUGAUAGCACCAUAUAGUCAGCAAAUAUUGAUAGUACGUUUGUGGUUGGCAGUGUUGGGUGGGAUAGAAUCCAACUUUACAGUGCUCUAUGAAUCACACGGGAUGUUAUUGUAACGGGGGAAAACCAUCGUAACUUAAGAGGCUAAUCAGUGAUUCGUGGCAGGGACUCCAUUUCCUUUCAUAACUGCGCUUGAAAAUGAUUGUAUUUAUAUUAUUCUAAGCGUGAAUAUACUUUCUCAUGCAUUCCCUUGCACAUUGAGUAUAUUCUCAGUGGCUGGCACAACGCUUUACGAAUCGCGCCCACACAAAAGAACUUUAAUCUAAUCAAUUUGCUUAGCACAUAUACACAUGCAAAUACACACAAGCAUAAUGCAUAUAGAUACAUUAGAGAGCACACUGCUGUAUGGCGCCGUAAACUUUAUACCCACGGUGGAAUGAAGAGCAGCGGAACGAUUGAGAACAACUCAACCCAAGCCAAUCUUCGUUCUAAACUGAUGAUGCUAUGGCGAGCUUAUAGUCAAUAUUUACAUACAUGCAUACAUACAUACAUGUGGUUGAGAUGUGUAUGUUCCAGUGUGUGGGUUUUCUUUGAAGAACGCGAUGCGUCAGAAGCUUGUUGUUUGGAUGCUGGGAAGACAGAUAAAAAAUGUCGCAUAAAUAAAUAAAUAAUUGACUUGCUAUUGUGCACAACAACAGUAACAAUAACAGCAAAAUUUGUUGUUCUGAAAAUGCAAUCGUUCUUGUUGUUGCCUUAUACGGAAAUAGCUCAAUGAAAGUUGUCAGCUUGAAAUUAAAUAAUAAUUACAGUUUGUGCGCAUGUGUGUGUGAGUGUGUUUGGAGUCGCAAAGGGGCGUCACAACUGCACUGUGUGGGCCGCAGGUAGUGUAGGUAGCUUCUAAUGCUUAAAUGUGAGCGCAUUUGGCGGCUUCAAGUUCGUUUGUGAAGCUGAAAACUCAAUAUAUGAAGGGUGAUCCAUUUCGAGGUUCCCCACAUUUUUAAAGAAGAAACGCAGAAACUUCAAAUUUAAUUCAGAAUGUUUUUUUAUCAUUCGAAAGAACGUCCGUUGGCAUUUAUUUUUUGAAGAUAUUCUCUCUUAAAUGGUCGUGGUUACCACUCAGACGGUUCAUCCGUUGAGUCCAAUUUUCGAUGACUUCCUCGAGCAUUUCGACCGGCAACUGGCGAAUGGCACGUGUAAGGUUUUGCUCCAAGGCUUGUAUUGAAGCGUGAUUAUCCGCGUAGACUUUAGACUUUACAUAUCCCCACAGGAAAACAGGUCUAACAGUGUGAUAUUUCAUGAUCUUGGUGGCUAAUCGACCGGCCCAAAACGCGAAAUUAGCUGCCCACCGAAGUGUUCUCUCAAAAAAUUCAUUGAUUGAUGCGAUGUGUGGCAAGUGGCGUCAUCUUGUUGAAACCAAAUGUCGCCAAGAUCUCGAGCUUUAAUUUCAGGCAUCAAAUAGUCGGUUAUCAUGGCGCGAUAACGGUCGCUAUUCACGGUUACGAACUCACCGGCCUAAUUUUUGAAGAAAUAUGUUUCCACCGGCCUACAAGCCAAACCAAACCGUUUUUCUAACAGCUCAUAGAGCGAAGCGAUCUCGCUUGGGAAGGUCGAGCGGCUUCAGUUCUUGCACAAGCUGUAUUUAAUAAGGAGGUAUAUCUUUAGCGGCCAAUACAAAUCGUAUAUAUCGUCUGCAAAAAAUACGAUAUCUAUGAAGACUGCCCCUCCGAGAACAAAAAAAGACAUGCUAUAACAAUAACAGUACGAUAUCCAACGACUGUUAUACUUUAAGGAUUUGGCAAGUUUUAUUUUAUACUAAAUCAAAUAAUAUACAUAUUUAUAUAUAAAUUUAUUUCUAAAUUUUUCUUAGAAAUCCAAAAAUGCAUUUGCUGCGGCAGCGCUGUCUACCAAAUUGCGUGUAUUAAAUCGAUAUGUUGUUGGCCAAGACACACAUGGCUAAAAUGUGUGCAAACAUUUUAGGCAAGCUGAACUGCCGAUUACGGCAUACAGCAACAACAACGAUUACUGUGAUGAAUCACUGGCGAGAAUUUGCGCUUUCGGCUUCACUGACGUCCAAGUAAACAACGAUCAGCGUUAAAAAUAAACUUUAAAUUUAAUGCAAAUUGCUUAUUGUAUAAGUUUGCCGAAUACGUUUGCACUUAUCAUACACAUACACAUAUGUAUGUAUACAGCGUAUGCAAUUUGCACUGUUAACAGUGGGAUCGAACUGUAGAGAACAGAAUAUGCGCUGCAAGUUCGCUUUUUGGCUAAGGACAAUGGACCCAUAAAAUGUUAAAACUGACAGUAAACUCAAUUAUAUCCAAGCAAAUGUGGAACCAAACCACUUUUUCUGCAACUUCAACUGAUGUUUAAAUAUUUUAUGUUUGAACCAUUACAACAACGACACUAAAUUUUGUUUUUGUGUGAGGAAACGUUUUCUGAAAUCAUAAAUUUCUUGGUUAAGUUGGAAUUUUGACGCCUGUUGUCACGAAUAAUAUGGCAAUGCUUCGAAAUGCAUCAACUAGAGUUAUAAUUUCAUUCAUUUCCAGGAAGAAUUCAUUAACAACGAAAUUUAUAUUUAAUUUUUAUAUGAAACCAAAAUCUGUUAGCUCUAAAUUAUAGUAUACACAUUUUGUCGAGUGCGUCUCUCGGCUGGUUUUGGAUAAAAAUCCAUAAUUUCGAAAAAUAUAAAUUAAAAAGAAGCAAUUUUUAAUACUUUGGGACUAAAAAAAAUUAAAAUAUGUGCAAAACUAGUAGCGAAGUUCUUUAUAAGGCAAUAUUUUAUAUCUAUUAAGAUUUAUUUAUUAAGAACAAAUUUUUUUUAUGAAAAUACAUGUACAUAUGUAUUACUAAUACCUCAAAAUACCAAGGGGCACAUCUACAAGACUGAUUUACGGAAAUUACAAACAAAAAAUACAAUAUGAAUGAAAUGUUUUAAAAUUUUGAGCAUAAUUUAUACAUAAUUAGUGAAUAUAUGUAUAAAAAAUACAUAAAACUUGAAAUCAUUAAGGGGUUAUAUACAGUUAGAAGGCAGAAAAAAGCGAAUAUUCCAGAUUUUUUUAGAAAACUUUUAAAUUUGUUGAUUCAAAAAUUUUUACACUUGUAUCUUUUAACUGUACAUUAGGACUCAAAAUAAGUAAAAAUAUUUAUAUUUGACAAAAUGGAGAUUUCUAAAAAAAAGAUUUUUGACCAAAAUUUCGUUGUUAAAUUGUUCAUAAAAAAAUAUUUAUCGGUAAGACUAAUAAGUUUAGCCGUUUUCAAGUAGUGUUGGUCACCGAUUUUGCUUCGGCCUUGUACUUAAAAGCACUCUGAAACGCUUUUUCUAAUUUGCGUGUGACUUCGAAAAUAUUCACCGGAACAAUAUGAAAAUUUCUGUGUGUAUUCCUAAAUAUAUGUACAUUAAGAAAAUUAAAUAAAAAAAAUUAAAAUUUUUGAAAAUUCUAUCUGUAUAUAACUCCUUAAAAAAAUUAUUAAACUAUAAAGUAUCACCUUUUAAAAUUAACAAAAUGGCAGACUUAAAAAAAAUAACAACAAAACAUCGUUAAAAAUAUAUGAUUUUUAGCCCUUUACAUUUUUUAUAAACGAAAAUUUGAAGUGUCAUUGUGCAGGCAAACAACUCAAAAUAAGGACAUAAAAACAAAAACAAAUGUGAAGUUUAGCUUUUAACGCAAUUACAAUUGAGAUAUCGAUUGCUAAAUGUGUAUAUACAAGUAAAAAGAUAAUAGAAUCCAAAUGCACGGCCCAAUGGCUUAAUAACGAUUUUAACAAGAAUUUCGUUUUUGAACCUUAAUAUAUGUACAUAAGAUUGUGGAUUUUUUUCGAAUGCUUUGGAAUUAUGGCUUUCUGAAAACUCCAAUAACGUGAAUAGUAGAAAUUAGUCUGAAUAUGUGAAAUUGAUCGGACGAUCUUCAGACCUUCGAGUUACAAUUGCAGCCAUUUUGAAAAAUUUAGUUU
Bactrocera dorsalis (oriental fruit fly) is the source of this 5491-nucleotide long non-coding RNA. RefSeq lists it as uncharacterized. The record is from RefSeq and is a predicted model, not a curated record. The transcript has 4 exons. Lineage: Eukaryota; Metazoa; Arthropoda; Insecta; Diptera; Tephritidae.